GACAGAGGUGGCAAGCGUUGUUCGGAAUCAUUGGGCUUAAAGCGUGCGUAGGCGGCUCUGCAAGUGCCUUGUGAAAUCCCUCGGCUCAACCGAGGAAUGGCUGGGCAUACUGCCGAGCUUGAGGCAGGUAGGGGCGAGUGGAACUCUUGGUGGAGCGGUGGAAUGCGUAGAUAUCAAGAGGAACGCCGGUGGUGAAGACGACUCGCUGGGCCUGUCCUGACGCUGAGGCACGAAAGCCAGGGGAG
This 245-nucleotide ribosomal RNA is filed under the name uncultured bacterium. RNAcentral describes it as "partial 16S ribosomal RNA". It matches the Rfam family "Bacterial small subunit ribosomal RNA", at positions 524 to 768 of the family's 1533-position model. The record is from RNAcentral.